GUGACCCUUGACUAGGAUUGAACUGUUGCAGAAAUGGCAUCUGACAGGGAUGCAGUUGUUGAUUCUGUGCAGGCCAUGAUACAUUAUUAGCUGGAAAUCCAACAGGAAUGACUGCAUUCUGUGACUGCUGAGAAGGCAGCCCAUUUACCCAGACUCCAUCUGAAGGUCGGAAAACACCAGAUGGUGUUGCCAUUGGUGAAAAUGGUGGACAAAAGCCACUUCCACUACGAAAAUCCUGUCCUUUGGUAGAAGAUGAAAUAUUAUUCAUUGAUGCUCCUAUAGAAGAUUUAUUAUGCUGGUUCUGAUUUGGAGGUGACUGACCCACACCCACCAACGCUUGCUGCCCUGAAGGUGUAUUAUUCUUCCAAUUGCCAUUCCUAUUGUUAACUUUCUUCCUAUUGUUUUUCUUGUUUCCAACUGUCUGAUUAUUCAGGCCCCUCUUUGACAUUCUUUGCAUUCUCCUAUACUCUGCCUCUUUCUCAUCAUCUGAGAACUCUCCAUCAUCUGACAACUCUUCAUCAUUCUCGCCAGAUGCAUCAUACCCUUUCUUGUAAAGAUUCUUAUCACUAAGCACAUGACUAGCAAACUCAGAAACAAAAGAAAUCAAGGUUCCUUGACAGAUGCCAGCAGGGACUUCACUUUCAGAAUUGUA
Molecule: unclassified non-coding RNA, 652 nt
Filed under: Hevea brasiliensis (rubber tree)
Lineage: Eukaryota; Viridiplantae; Streptophyta; Magnoliopsida; Malpighiales; Euphorbiaceae
Source: RNAcentral